This 253-nucleotide ribosomal RNA is filed under the name uncultured bacterium. Its description in RNAcentral is "partial 16S ribosomal RNA". It matches the Rfam family "Bacterial small subunit ribosomal RNA", at positions 524 to 776 of the family's 1533-position model. The record is from RNAcentral.
UACGUAGGUGGCAAGCGUUGUCCGGAUUGACUGGGCGUAAAGCGCACGCAGGCGGACGCGCGCGUGGGGUGUGAAAUCUGGCCGCUUAACGGCCAGGCGCCAUCCCAUACGGCGCGUCUGGAGUGAUGCAGAGGUCGGUGGAAUUGCCGGUGUAGUGGUGAAAUGCGUAGAGAUCGGCAGGAACACCCAGGGGGAAACCAGCCGACUGGGCAUCUACUGACGCUGAGGUGCGAGAGCGUGGGGAGCGAACCGG